RNAcentral lists this long non-coding RNA (992 nucleotides) under Homo sapiens (human). RNAcentral's name for it is "non-protein coding lnc-CCKAR-19:1". The record is from RNAcentral. Lineage: Eukaryota; Metazoa; Chordata; Mammalia; Primates; Hominidae.
CUCUUGGCCUCCUUCUGCUGCCUGCUGGUGCUGGCCUGUGCAGGAAGCAGACCUUAUUUGCACCUCCUGUCCAAAGAACUAGUCAACUAUAUCAACAAACAAAACACCACGCAACAGGCCGGGCACAACUUCUGCAAAAUGGAAUGAGCUACCUGAUGAGGCCAUGUGGUACCUUCCUCGGCAGAUCCAAGCUACUCCAGAGAGUUAAGUUUGCUAGGACAUAAAUCUGCCUGAAAGCUUUGAUCCACAGGAACAGUGGCCAGACUGACCUCAGAGAGAUCAGGGACCAGGGCUCCUAUGGCUUUUGCUGGGUUUUGGGGGCUUUGGAAGCCAUCUCUGACUGGAUCUGCAUCCACCCCAAUGUCUCAGGGAGGAAAUCAUGUGGCGGUGUCCGUGGAGGACAAGCUCACCUGUUUGUGUGGGGACGGCUGCAAUGGUGGUGAUCCCAAUGAAGGUUGGAACUUUUGGACAAGAAAAGGCCUGGUUUCUGGUGGCCUCUAUGACUCUCAUGUAGGUUGAAGACUUUUUCCAUCCCUCCUUCCCUGUGAGCACCACAUCCAUGGCUCCAUACGUGCGGAAGGGAGACCCCCCAAGUGCAGCAUGACCUGCGAGCCUGGCCAGACCUACAAAUAGGACAAGCACUAUGGAUGCAGUUCUUACAGUGUCUCCGAAGCACAAAGGACAUCAUGGCCACGAUCUACAAAAAUGACCCAGUGGAGGAAGCCUUCUCUGUGUAUUUGGACUUCCUGCUGUACAAGCUCAAAGAAUAGCAAGGCGUCACUGGAGAGAUGAUGGAGGCCAUGCCAUCUGCAUCCUGGGCUGCAAAGUGGAGAACAGCACGUCCUACUGGCUGGUUGCAAAUCCUGGAAUAGGUACUGGCGUGAUAAUGGCUGUGACAAUAACUUCUUUAAAAUCCUCAGAGGACAAGAUCACUAUGGAAUUGAAUCUGAAGUGGUGGCUGAAAUUCCACACACUGAGCAGUACUGGGAAAA